Pangasius djambal is the source of this 75-nucleotide non-coding RNA. The record is from the annotation of a GenBank genome assembly. Lineage: Eukaryota; Metazoa; Chordata; Actinopteri; Siluriformes; Pangasiidae.
ACAGUCGUGGCCUAAUGGUUAGAGAGUCAGACUUGUAACUUGAAGGUCGUGAGUUUGAGCCUCAGGCCGGCAGGG